AAUCACAAAACGGAUUUUGACAACAGCGCGAGCGGUUUAGAAAAACAUCAGAAGGCAACGUGUCACCAAAUUGGAACAUUCUAGAUUCUAGAAGACGAAAACUAGCAUUAUAUAACGGUACAUUUUUGACUGUGCGUGAAUAGAUUUUCAGACAACGACCGAGCGUUUUCUAAAAGUAACGAUCUUACAAGUAGAAGACAAUAUAUUUCGAUAACUAAAUGGAAACAUUCUAGAAGAAGAAAAUUGACAUUGUAUAGCGAGGCACAUCUUUGUCUAGUGUGAAUAGAUUUUCAGACAACGAUCGUUUUCUAAAAGUUAUGACUUUACAAGCGGAAGACAAUGUAUUUCGAGAAAGUGCACGAUGUAUCUCCAAACUAUCCUAUAUCUUAUAGAUAUAAAAGUUGCAUAUGACGAAAUCUCUUAGAAGACAAGUGGUGCAUAUACAUUAUGAUAUAGAGAUCGAUGAGGGGCUGAUGCGCAAAAUAUAAAAAUAUUAAUCACAUGAGAACACACAACACGUGACAAUGAUGAGAGAAUGAUGAUCAAAGAUGGUGUAAAACCCAGACAGACACAUUUAACCACUCAUUUUUUUAAGUGUCUUCCUCGCAAGAAAGAUACAUGAAAAAAAAAUUGCCCUUUCUUCUCCACAUUCCUGGAAAUACUUCAAUGAUGUUGACGCGUCAUUAGAAUUCUAAUGCAAGCUUAUGGCUACGGUGUUCCUCAAUUUACAAAUACGCUUUGCACACUACGGAAAAUAUUACUAUACAGUCAAGCUGCUCCUCUAUAGUGUAGUCUCAAAAUUUUCGAUUCUCUAUUCUAUAAUCCUUCGGAUUAGGUAGUAAAAGUUUCGUACUUCUUCUGGUUUAGUGAGAAUAGUCGAACGGACAGUAAUAGUGACAAGCAGGUAAAAAAAAAAAAAAAAAAAUUUCUUCCUCUGCCAUAUGCUUAGCAAAUGAUUCAGUUCAUUGUGUAUAGAAAAAGAGACACUUCCCAUCAUUUUUGUUCUCAGUUUUGCGUGUCUUUGAAUUUUCGGUAUUUUUUGCUUCUCUCACCCACAUCUAUUCCCACCUUAUUUCUCGGUUAUCUACAAAAAAUUUAACUUAUUGUUAGAAGAGUUCGACUGACUAUAGAGGACUUGCUCGAUGCCGAUGAGUCGAGAUUAAAGGCUAACAACAUAUAUCUCCCCUAACUAUUAAUAUACGAUAUUAAUAUAAUACAACCGAAUAUAUGUAUAACAAUGGCGCAAUUCCGUGUGACGGAAACUUAGAAUAUUGUUAAAGCAAAGUUAUUAUGCGAUGACAUAUGCGUGGACGAUAAUAUGACAUUUGCAAUGUUAACAUAUUCACACAUAAUGGCAUUACUUUCAACAAUAAUUUUUUCAAUAAAAAAAAAUCAGUGUAUCUUAAA
This is a long non-coding RNA of Nylanderia fulva, 1407 nucleotides long. RefSeq lists it as uncharacterized. NCBI's taxonomy places the organism in Eukaryota, Metazoa, Arthropoda, Insecta, Hymenoptera, Formicidae. The record is from RefSeq and is a predicted model, not a curated record.